This is a long non-coding RNA of Megalobrama amblycephala (Wuchang bream), 537 nucleotides long. RefSeq lists it as uncharacterized. NCBI's taxonomy places the organism in Eukaryota, Metazoa, Chordata, Actinopteri, Cypriniformes, Xenocyprididae. The transcript has 3 exons. The record is from RefSeq and is a predicted model, not a curated record.
GAGCUGAUCCAGCACAGCAGGAGGAACAGAGUUACCGGCCUCAGACUGCAGGAGGCGCUCACACUGAACCUGCCUCAACAUCAGGAACACCACAGGAUGCUCUGGAGAGACACUAAGAACCUGAGAUAGGAAGGAGGAGUCCACGGACACGGAGUAAGCGAAGCAGAGUGGGAGUUUUUGAGAGCCGAGCUACACUCUACAUAGGAAACUGCGGAAUUGGCAGCAGAUUGAAGAAAGCAUUGAGAGCGACCGAAAGCAUGUAUUGGAGCAACUCUACAGAAUUUUGGUCCUUCAGGAGCAGGAUUGGACACCCCUGCACUACAGACACACCCAAAGCGUAACAGCUCGUGUUUUGAGCAUAUGAGAGCCAUAGAUGGAUACUAGACAGAUGGUGCCAUGAAACGGGCACAAUGUUCUGCUCUAAAGCCCUUGAAUCUGUCUGUGUCUGCACCUGCGUCCGAGAGCCGAGGAGAGACGAAUCAAUAGGGGACAGCGUGACACAGAAACGGAGAGUGUGCAUAUGUGUGCGUACCUGGG